ACAGCAGCAGCCACGGUAAUACGAAGGGGGCUAGCGUUGCUCGGAAUGACUGGGCGUAAAGGGCGCGUAGGCGGCGAUCAAAGUCAGGCGUGAAAUUCCUGGGCUCAACCUGGGGGCUGCGCUUGAUACUUGGUUGCUUGAGUGGGGAAGAGGGUCGUGGAAUUCCCAGUGUAGAGGUGAAAUUCGUAGAUAUUGGGAAGAACACCGGUGGCGAAGGCGGCGACCUGGUCCUUGACUGACGCUGGUGCGCGAAAGCGUGGGGAGCAAACAGGAUUAGAUACCCCUGUAGUCCCUGUCUCUUAUAC
RNAcentral lists this ribosomal RNA (305 nucleotides) under uncultured bacterium. RNAcentral's name for it is "partial 16S ribosomal RNA". It matches the Rfam family "Bacterial small subunit ribosomal RNA", at positions 506 to 807 of the family's 1533-position model. The record is from RNAcentral.